GGAUCUGUCCUCCUGGACAUGCUGAAAGACCGAUGCUUGGGGACCUGCGGCCGAAGGCAUCUGCUUGCCUGGUCCCCAAGCACU
RNAcentral lists this small RNA (84 nucleotides) under Jaculus jaculus (lesser Egyptian jerboa). RNAcentral's name for it is "sRNA (ENSJJAG00000007461.1)". The record is from RNAcentral. Lineage: Eukaryota; Metazoa; Chordata; Mammalia; Rodentia; Dipodidae.